Molecule: ribosomal RNA, 383 nt
Filed under: Mnais strigata
Lineage: Eukaryota; Metazoa; Arthropoda; Insecta; Odonata; Calopterygidae
Description: partial 16S ribosomal RNA
Source: RNAcentral
GGUAACUUAUUCUACUAAUCAAUAAUAAUGGAUCUAAGAAUCAUAAAUAAAUGUAUAAUAAAUAAUAAAAGUUAAAUAUAUAUCUUUUGUCGCCCCAACAAAAAAAUCUAAUCAACAGCAGUAAAAAUGAAACACAACAGCCAUUAAAAUUGACCAUUAAAGCUCUAUAGGGUCUUCUCGUCUUCCAAAAGAAUUUGAGCCUUUUAACUCAAAAGCUAAAUUUUAACUUAUUUAAUUGAGACAGUUAGAGCCUCGUCAAGCCCUUCAUUCCAGCCCCCUAUUAAAAGACUAAUGAUUAUGCUACCUUUGCACGGUCAAAAUACCGCGGCCGUUAAAUAAUUAUCACCGGGCAGGCUUGACCUCAUAUAAUAAAACAAGAGGAC